UGGGUAGGGGAGCGUUCUGUAAGCCGUUGAAGGUGGCCUGUGAGGGUUGCUGGAGGUAUCAGAAGUGCGAAUGCUGACAUAAGUAACGAUAAAGCGGGUGAAAAGCCCGCUCGCCGGAAGACCAAGGGUUCCUGUCCAACGUUAAUCGGGGCAGGGUGAGUCGACCCCUAAGGCGAGGCCGAAAGGCGUAGUCGAUGGGAAACGGGUUAAUAUUCCCGUACUUGGUGUUACUGCGAAGGGGGGACGGAGAAGGCUAUGUUGGCCGGGCGACGGUUGUCCCGGUUUAAGCGUGUAGGUGUGUGUUCCAGGUAAAUCCGGUUCACUUUAACACUGAGGCGUGACGACGAGGCACUACGGUGCUGAAGCAACAAAUGCCCUGCUUCCAGGAAAAGCCUCUAAGCAUCAGGUAACAUCAAAUCGUACCCCAAACCGACACAGGUGGUCAGGUAGAGAAUACCAAGGCGCUUGAGAGAACUCGGGUGAAGGAACUAGGCAAAAUGGUGCCGUAACUUCGGGAGAAGGCACGCUGACACGUAGGUGAAGUGAUUUACUCAUGGAGCUGAAGUCAGUCGAAGAUACCAGCUGGCUGCAACUGUUUAUUAAAAACACAGCACUGUGCAAACACGAAAGUGGACGUAUACGGUGUGACGCCUGCCCGGUGCCGGAAGGUUAAUUGAUGGGGUCAGCGCAAGCGAAGCUCCUGAUCGAAGCCCCGGUAAACGGCGGCCGUAACUAUAACGGUCCUAAGGUAGCGAAAUUCCUUGUCGGGUAAGUUCCGACCUGCACGAAUGGCGUAAUGAUGGCCAGGCUGUCUCCACCCGAGACUCAGUGAAAUUGAACUCGCUGUGAAGAUGCAGUGUACCCGCGGCAAGACGGAAAGACCCCGUGAACCUUUACUAUAGCUUGACACUGAACAUUGAGCCUUGAUGUGUAG
RNAcentral lists this ribosomal RNA (934 nucleotides) under Salmonella enterica subsp. enterica serovar Stanley. RNAcentral describes it as "partial 23S ribosomal RNA". It matches the Rfam family "Bacterial large subunit ribosomal RNA", at positions 1225 to 2141 of the family's 2925-position model. The record is from RNAcentral. Lineage: Bacteria; Pseudomonadati; Pseudomonadota; Gammaproteobacteria; Enterobacterales; Enterobacteriaceae.